RNAcentral lists this ribosomal RNA (888 nucleotides) under Bacillus pumilus. RNAcentral describes it as "bacterial SSU rRNA". It matches the Rfam family "Bacterial small subunit ribosomal RNA", at positions 19 to 887 of the family's 1533-position model. Lineage: Bacteria; Bacillati; Bacillota; Bacilli; Caryophanales; Bacillaceae. The record is from RNAcentral.
CUGGCUCAGGACGAACGCUGGCGGCGUGCCUAAUACAUGCAAGUCGAGCGGACAGAAGGGAGCUUGCUCCCGGAUGUUAGCGGCGGACGGGUGAGUAACACGUGGGUAACCUGCCUGUAAGACUGGGAUAACUCCGGGAAACCGGAGCUAAUACCGGAUAGUUCCUUGAACCGCAUGGUUCAAGGAUGAAAGACGGUUUCGGGCUGUUCCCUUACAGAUGGGACCCGCGGCGCAUUAGCUAGUUGGUGAGGUAACGGCUCACCAAGGCGACGAUGCGUAGCCGACCUGAGAGGGUGAUCGGCCACACUGGGACUGAGACACGGCCCAGACUCCUACGGGAGGCAGCAGUAGGGAAUCUUCCGCAAUGGACGAAAGUCUGACGGAGCAACGCCGCGUGAGUGAUGAAGGUUUUCGGAUCGUAAAGCUCUGUUGUUAGGGAAGAACAAGUGCAAGAGUAACUGCUUGCACCUUGACGGUACCUAACCAGAAAGCCACGGCUAACUACGUGCCAGCAGCCGCGGUAAUACGUAGGUGGCAAGCGUUGUCCGGAAUUAUUGGGCGUAAAGGGCUCGCAGGCGGUUUCUUAAGUCUGAUGUGAAAGCCCCCGGCUCAACCGGGGAGGGUCAUUGGAAACUGGGAAACUUGAGUGCAGAAGAGGAGAGUGGAAUUCCACGUGUAGCGGUGAAAGGCGUAGAGAUGUGGAGGAACACCAGUGGCGAAGGCGACUCUCUGGUCUGUAACUGACGCUGAGGAGCGAAAGCGUGGGGACGAACAGGAUUAGAUACCCUGGUAGUCCACGCCGUAAACGAUAAAUGCUAAGUGUUAGGGGGUUUCCGCCCCUUAGUGCUGCAGCUAACGCAUUAAGCAACACGCAUUGGGGUGACCGUC